UUAUGUGAUCGUCUCUCGCAUAUCAAUAAGCGGAGGAAAAGAAACUAACAAGGAUUCCCCUAGUAACGGCGAGUGAAGCGGGAAGAGCUCAAAUUUGAAAUCUUAAAGGGUUUCCCUUUACGAAUUGUAGUUUAAAGAAGUGUUUUCUGUUGAGGUUUUGGUAAAAGUUCUUUGGAAUAGGACAUCAUAGAGGGUGAGAAUCCCGUAUUUGACCUUUACUUUCAACUUUGUGAUACACUUUCAAAGAGUCGGAUUGUUUGGGAAUGCAGUCCAAAAUGGGUGGUAAAUUUCAUCUAAAGCUAAAUAUUGGCGAGAGACCGAUAGCGAACAAGUACCGUGAGGGAAAGAUGAAAAGAACUUUGAAAAGAGAGUUAAACAGUACGUGAAAUUGUCAAAAGGGAAGCGUUUGACACCAGUGUUGUUUUUCUGAAAAUCAAUUAAAGAACUGUUUAUGCUAAGUUGUUUAGACUUUAUCAGCUAACUGUUUAGUUUUGAGCUUUUCUUUAAUGCACUUUUCAGUUAACAAGUCAACAUCAAUUUCUUUUGCUGUAAAAAAGCUUGAGGAAGGUGGCUUGAGAUUCGUCUUAAGUGUUUAUAGCCUCUUGCCUAUGCAGUCGGAGAGAUUGAGGUCUGCAGCGUAGAUCCUUCGGGGCUAAAUGCAUUUGUGCUAAGUUAUAGCAUUUUAUAGACAACUUGUUGACUAUGAUUUGUCUUGUAGCUUACUCGCUUAUGCUAUUUUACCUACGCUUAGGAUGUUGAUCUACAGAGCGAGAGU
This 775-nucleotide ribosomal RNA is filed under the name uncultured Neocallimastigales. RNAcentral describes it as "partial large subunit ribosomal RNA". It matches the Rfam family "Eukaryotic large subunit ribosomal RNA", at positions 24 to 631 of the family's 3401-position model. The record is from RNAcentral. Lineage: Eukaryota; Fungi; Neocallimastigomycota; Neocallimastigomycetes; Neocallimastigales.